GACCGCUUAGCUCAGUGGUAGAGCGUGUGAUUCCAGUGACCGGAUUGAACAUUAAAUCCAGGUUGGCGUCCACAAGGUCGUCCGUUCAAUCCGGGCAGUGGUCA
Ceratobasidium sp. 392 is the source of this 104-nucleotide non-coding RNA. The record is from the annotation of a GenBank genome assembly. Lineage: Eukaryota; Fungi; Basidiomycota; Agaricomycetes; Cantharellales; Ceratobasidiaceae.